Molecule: ribosomal RNA, 2567 nt
Filed under: Escherichia coli
Lineage: Bacteria; Pseudomonadati; Pseudomonadota; Gammaproteobacteria; Enterobacterales; Enterobacteriaceae
Description: partial 23S ribosomal RNA
Rfam family: Bacterial large subunit ribosomal RNA
Source: RNAcentral
ACAGCCCCGUACACAAAAAUGCACAUGCUGUGAGCUCGAUGAGUAGGGCGGGACACGUGGUAUCCUGUCUGAAUAUGGGGGGACCAUCCUCCAAGGCUAAAUACUCCUGACUGACCGAUAGUGAACCAGUACCGUGAGGGAAAGGCGAAAAGAACCCCGGCGAGGGGAGUGAAAAAGAACCUGAAACCGUGUACGUACAAGCAGUGGGAGCACAGAGCAAUCUGUGUGACUGCGUACCUUUUGUAUAAUGGGUCAGCGACUUAUAUUCUGUAGCAAGGUUAACCGAAUAGGGGAGCCGAAGGGAAACCGAGUCUUAACUGGGCGUUAAGUUGCAGGGUAUAGACCCGAAACCCGGUGAUCUAGCCAUGGGCAGGUUGAAGGUUGGGUAACACUAACUGGAGGACCGAACCGACUAAUGUUGAAAAAUUAGCGGAUGACUUGUGGCUGGGGGUGAAAGGCCAAUCAAACCGGGAGAUAGCUGGUUCUCCCCGAAAGCUAUUUAGGUAGCGCCUCGUGAAUUCAUCUCCGGGGGUAGAGCACUGUUUCGGCAAGGGGGUCAUCCCGACUUACCAACCCGAUGCAAACUGCGAAUACCGGAGAAUGUUAUCACGGGAGACACACGGCGGGUGCUAACGUCCGUCGUGAAGAGGGAAACAACCCAGACCGCCAGCUAAGGUCCCAAAGUCAUGGUUAAGUGGGAAACGAUGUGGGAAGGCCCAGACAGCCAGGAUGUUGGCUUAGAAGCAGCCAUCAUUUAAAGAAAGCGUAAUAGCUCACUGGUCGAGUCGGCCUGCGCGGAAGAUGUAACGGGGCUAAACCAUGCACCGAAGCUGCGGCAGCGACGCUGAUGCGUUGUUGGGUAGGGGAGCGUUCUGUAAGCCUGUGAAGGUGUGCUGUGAGGCAUGCUGGAGGUAUCAGAAGUGCGAAUGCUGACAUAAGUAACGAUAAAGCGGGUGAAAAGCCCGCUCGCCGGAAGACCAAGGGUUCCUGUCCAACGUUAAUCGGGGCAGGGUGAGUCGACCCCUAAGGCGAGGCCGAAAGGCGUAGUCGAUGGGAAACAGGUUAAUAUUCCUGUACUUGGUGUUACUGCGAAGGGGGGACGGAGAAGGCUAUGUUGGCCGGGCGACGGUUGUCCCGGUUUAAGCGUGUAGGCUGGUUUUCCAGGCAAAUCCGGAAAAUCAAGGCUGAGGCGUGAUGACGAGGCACUACGGUGCUGAAGCAACAAAUGCCCUGCUUCCAGGAAAAGCCUCUAAGCAUCAGGUAACAUCAAAUCGUACCCCAAACCGACACAGGUGGUCAGGUAGAGAAUACCAAGGCGCUUGAGAGAACUCGGGUGAAGGAACUAGGCAAAAUGGUGCCGUAACUUCGGGAGAAGGCACGCUGAUAUGUAGGUGAAGUCCCUCGCGGAUGGAGCUGAAAUCAGUCGAAGAUACCAGCUGGCUGCAACUGUUUAUUAAAAACACAGCACUGUGCAAACACGAAAGUGGACGUAUACGGUGUGACGCCUGCCCGGUGCCGGAAGGUUAAUUGAUGGGGUCAGCGCAAGCGAAGCUCUUGAUCGAAGCCCCGGUAAACGGCGGCCGUAACUAUAACGGUCCUAAGGUAGCGAAAUUCCUUGUCGGGUAAGUUCCGACCUGCACGAAUGGCGUAAUGAUGGCCAGGCUGUCUCCACCCGAGACUCAGUGAAAUUGAACUCGCUGUGAAGAUGCAGUGUACCCGCGGCAAGACGGAAAGACCCCGUGAACCUUUACUAUAGCUUGACACUGAACAUUGAGCCUUGAUGUGUAGGAUAGGUGGGAGGCUUUGAAGUGUGGACGCCAGUCUGCAUGGAGCCGGCCUUGAAAUACCACCCUUUAAUGUUUGAUGUUCUAACGUUGACCCGUUAUCCGGGUUGCGGACAGUGUCUGGUGGGUAGUUUGACUGGGGCGGUCUCCUCCUAAAGAGUAACGGAGGAGCACGAAGGUUGGCUAAUCCUGGUCGGACAUCAGGAGGUUAGUGCAAUGGCAUAAGCCAGCUUGACUGCGAGCGUGACGGCGCGAGCAGGUGCGAAAGCAGGUCAUAGUGAUCCGGUGGUUCUGAAUGGAAGGGCCAUCGCUCAACGGAUAAAAGGUACUCCGGGGAUAACAGGCUGAUACCGCCCAAGAGUUCAUAUCGACGGCGGUGUUUGGCACCUCGAUGUCGGCUCAUCACAUCCUGGGGCUGAAGUAGGUCCCAAGGGUAUGGCUGUUCGCCAUUUAAAGUGGUACGCGAGCUGGGUUUAGAACGUCGUGAGACAGUUCGGUCCCUAUCUGCCGUGGGCGCUGGAGAACUGAGGGGGGCUGCUCCUAGUACGAGAGGACCGGAGUGGACGCAUCACUGGUGUUCGGGUUGUCAUGCCAAUGGCACUGCCCGGUAGCUAAAUGCGGAAGAGAUAAGUGCUGAAAGCAUCUAAGCACGAAACUUGCCCCGAGAUGAGUUCUCCCUGACUCCUUGAGAGUCCUGAAGGAACGUUGAAGACGACGACGUUGAUAGGCCGGGUGUGUAAGCGCAGCGAUGCGUUGAGCUAACCGGUACUAAUGAACCGUGAG